Molecule: ribosomal RNA, 164 nt
Filed under: Dendrobium loddigesii
Lineage: Eukaryota; Viridiplantae; Streptophyta; Magnoliopsida; Asparagales; Orchidaceae
Also listed under: 1 other name
Description: 5.8S ribosomal RNA
Rfam family: 5.8S ribosomal RNA
About the family: 5.8S ribosomal RNA (5.8S rRNA) is a component of the large subunit of the eukaryotic ribosome. It is transcribed by RNA polymerase I as part of the 45S precursor that also contains 18S and 28S rRNA.
Source: RNAcentral
GACAUGACUCUCGGCAAUGGAUAUCUCGGCUCUCGCAUCGAUGAAGAGCGCAGCGAAAUGCGAUAUGUGGUGCGAAUUGCAGAAUCCCGCGAACCAUCGAGUCUUUGAACGCAAGUUGCGCCCGAGGCCAACCGGCCAAGGGCACGUCCGCCUGGGCGUCAGUC